Molecule: transfer RNA, 73 nt
Filed under: bacterium
Lineage: Bacteria
Also listed under: 1 other name
Description: tRNA-Met
Rfam family: tRNA
About the family: Transfer RNA (tRNA) molecules are approximately 80 nucleotides in length.
Source: RNAcentral
GCCUCGGUAGCUCAGUGGUUAGAGCGGGCGUCUCAUAAGCGCCAGGUCGUGGGUUCGAAUCCCACCCGAGGCA